UUCCGGUUGAUCCUGCCGGACCUGACUGCUAUCGGAUUGAUACUAAGCCAUGCGAGUCUUUGCAGUAAUGCAAGGCAUACGGCUCAGUAACACGUAGUCAACUUACCCUAUGGACGAGGAUAAUCUCGGGAAACUGAGCAUAAUACUCGAUAGAUCAUAAUGCCUGGAAUGGUUUAUGGUUGAAAUGAUUCGUCGCCAUAGGAUGGGACUGCGGCCUAUCAGCUUGUUGGUGAGGUAAUGGCCCACCAAGGCGAUUACAGGUACGGGCUCUGAGAGGAGAAGCCCGGAGAUGGGUACUGAGACAAGGACCCAGGCCCUAUGGGGCGCAGCAGGCGAGAAAACUUUGCAAUGUGCGAAAGCACGACAAGGUUAAUCCGAGUGAUUUCUGCUAAAGAAAUCUUUUGCAAGUCAUAAAACCACUAGUGAAUAAGGGGUGGGCAAGUUCUGGUGUCAGCCGCCGCGGUAAAACCAGCACCUCAAGUGGUCAGGAGGAUUAUUGGGCCUAAAGCAUCCGUAGCCGGCUCUGUAAGUUUUCGGUUAAAUCCAUGUGCUCAACGCAUGGGCUGCCGAAAAUACUGCAUAGCUAGGGAGUGGGAGAGGUAGACGGUACUCGGUAGGAAGGGGUAAAAUCCUUUGAUCUAUCGAUGACCACCUGUGGCGAAGGCGGUCUACCAGAACACGUUCGACGGUGAGGGAUGAAAGCUGGGGGAGCAAACCGGAUUAGAUACCCGGGUAGUCCCAGCUGUAAACGAUGCAGACUCGAUGAUGCAUUGGCAUAUAGCCAGUGCAGUGUCGCAGGGAAGCCGUUAAGUCUGCCGCCUGGGAAGUACGUACGCAAGUAUGAAACUUAAAGGAAUUGGCGGGGGAGCACCACAAGGGGUGAAGCCUGCGGUUCAAUUGGAGUCAACGCCGGA
RNAcentral lists this ribosomal RNA (914 nucleotides) under uncultured archaeon. Its description in RNAcentral is "bacterial SSU rRNA". It matches the Rfam family "Archaeal small subunit ribosomal RNA", at positions 1 to 922 of the family's 1478-position model. The record is from RNAcentral.